UUUUUCUCUUUAACAACUUGAAAGCCAGGUCUGGGCAAUUCAGCCUCUUGGCCCCCGGAUAGGGCCAUAAACUGUUUGCAGGCUUCCGUAAGCUGUUUGUCUGCAUGCCACGGCCGGGGUGUGGAUGAUGCCUAGAACUCUCCUGGCUCAGCUUCCACGGUCCAUUUGCCUUCUGGUCUCCCCAGGGACCGAGACGUCCUCUCUGUGCCCACAGUGGCUGGACAGGUAGAGAGCUCCCCGCCCCUGAGGGUGUGCAAACCAGAGAUGCCACCGAUGGUUCGAGGGUCCUCGAGGGGGACCCUCCCUGCCAGUCUCAGCUCAAGCAUCUGCCAGGGGAAGGUGAGCAGGUACAGGCCACGCAGGCCCAGGAGGUGGCAGCCAGAUGCGACCCGCUGCUUUGCCUCGUCCUCCUUCCUCUGUCGUUACAGGGGGAUGUGGCCAGCUCCUACCUGGACCUCCCUCCUGUCUCCACCAGCUCACUCCGUCCCUCAGACACAAUGACCCAUGCCACUCAGGUUCCUGUCCAGAGACCCCGGGGCUGCUGGGUGACCGUGGCCAUCCAGCUCCUCCCCCCUCCCCCAUGCGGAACCACAGCCCACAAGCGAACUCGGGCCCCACAGAAUCAAUCCCGCGGUCCCCGGAUGUGGUCCCCUUGCUUACAAUGGGGUGAGUUGAGGGAGGGGACGGCCACCACACUGAUGGAUCGUCACGCACCAUGUGAACACAAGGCCUUUCCAGGUCACUCGACAUCUUCCGCCUGAGAGUGGGCCAGGGGCCCCCCUCAGGUCCCUGCAUGAUGGUCCGGGUGUCUUCACUUCCUUCUUCCCUGACUUCCUCUCUGGGCUGUAGCCCUGCUGAGCUCUCAUUUUUAUUUUAUUUUAUUUUAUUUUACUUUUUUGAGAGAGAGAGUGAGAGAGAGCGAGAGCAAGCAUGAAUGGGGGAGGGGCAGAGAGAGAGAGGGAGACACAGAAUCCGAAGCAAGCUCCAGGCUCUGAGCUGUCAGCACACAGCCCGACGCGGGGCUCGAACCCACAAACCGUGAGAUCAUGACCUGAGCCGAAGUCGGUCGCUUAACCCACUGAGCCCCAAGGCGCCCCUGAUUAUUGUCAUUAAUAAAAUGUGUCUGAAACAGCUACCCCUCCGAGUG
This 1147-nucleotide long non-coding RNA is filed under the name Felis catus (domestic cat). RNAcentral describes it as "lncRNA (ENSFCAG00000053651.1)". The record is from RNAcentral. Lineage: Eukaryota; Metazoa; Chordata; Mammalia; Carnivora; Felidae.